This 492-nucleotide long non-coding RNA is filed under the name Triticum aestivum (bread wheat). RNAcentral's name for it is "long non-coding RNA (TAES_LNC026466)". The record is from RNAcentral. Lineage: Eukaryota; Viridiplantae; Streptophyta; Magnoliopsida; Poales; Poaceae.
AUUGACAACAUAAGAGUGCAAAAUAUUUGACAGCAGAUCGCUUAUGGUAAGACCUAGCUAUUAUCAAUAAUUUUAGUCCAUUAAAUGCGGUCUUAGUGAAAGGGUGUUCCUUUAUCAUGGUUGAAGGUUGCAUGACUUCUGCUAGGUGUUUUGAUACUUUUCAGUCUCUACUUGAAUGUUGCGUACCUAAUUUUUUAGUGGCCAACAAUCUUGCACUGAUUCUUGCUAGGGGUCAUCAAGGAAACUCAAUAGAUGGCUAUUUCAGUGGAGAUUAUACCAGAGAUGUUGUUUUGAAGUAAGCUCCUUCACACCAUUCUUUUGUAGUUCUUUCAGAAGUAAUGUUUCAUUCUUUUACUUGAGACUAGAGUGGUUGAUGCUCAUUCAUCUUAAUUUAAUACAGAGUAUAUGCCAGGAGAGAAAGAUAUACUUGAAACCCGAUGAGGUCAAUGAUGUGGAGAUUUUACCAGAGAUGUUGUUUUCAAGUAAGAUUUU